Arabidopsis thaliana (thale cress) is the source of this 505-nucleotide long non-coding RNA. RefSeq annotates it as other RNA. NCBI's taxonomy places the organism in Eukaryota, Viridiplantae, Streptophyta, Magnoliopsida, Brassicales, Brassicaceae. The transcript has a single exon. The record is from RefSeq.
UAGCAAACAAAAAGCCUCCAAAUUAAUUCAAAAACACUUUAAUUUUGCUAUGAAUGAAUAACCCUAAUUUUGGUAAACUUUAUAAACUCCAAUUUUGAUUUUCACCAUAAACGACAAACUUUAAUCAUUAUCUACAAAGGAAAAGAGCUUGAUUCAUACUACUACGAAGAAACUAGAGCUUCCUUCAACGUCUUCUCUCUAAUUCACAUCCUAAAUGUCUCAUUAGAUUAACCUCCGACCGAUGAUGGCGAGAAAAGGGUUUAGAGAUGAUGACUCCGGCGACAGGAACACAUACACACCGCAAUUUUCAUGAUUGUUAACUCACCACACUGAACGAAAUCAGAAAUUUCUUGCCUUUGCUCGAAAUGGGGAGAGAUAGAAGUUUGGGAGUUAUCCCGACACAAAGAAAAAAUAAAAAGACAAAAGAUUUUCUUUUUCCUCUUGUUACAUAAAAUCAACCUAUCAUCUACUACCACGUGUCUGACUUUCUCGGCUUCCAAACUCU